UGCAGUCGAGCGGUAGCACAGAGAGCUUGCUCUCGGGUGACGAGCGGCGGACGGGUGAGUAAUGUCUGGGAAACUGCCUGAUGGAGGGGGAUAACUACUGGAAACGGUAGCUAAUACCGCAUAACGUCGCAAGACCAAAGUGGGGGACCUUCGGGCCUCAUGCCAUCAGAUGUGCCCAGAUGGGAUUAGCUAGUAGGUGGGGUAACGGCUCACCUAGGCGACGAUCCCUAGCUGGUCUGAGAGGAUGACCAGCCACACUGGAACUGAGACACGGUCCAGACUCCUACGGGAGGCAGCAGUGGGGAAUAUUGCACAAUGGGCGCAAGCCUGAUGCAGCCAUGCCGCGUGUGUGAAGAAGGCCUUCGGGUUGUAAAGCACUUUCAGCGGGGAGGAAGGCGAUAAGGUUAAUAACCUUGUCGAUUGACGUUACCCGCAGAAGAAGCACCGGCUAACUCCGUGCCAGCAGCCGCGGUAAUACGGAGGGUGCAAGCGUUAAUCGGAAUUACUGGGCGUAAAGCGCACGCAGGCGGUCUGUCAAGUCGGAUGUGAAAUCCCCGGGCUCAACCUGGGAACUGCAUUCGAAACUGGCAGGCUAGAGUCUUGUAGAGGGGGGUAGAAUUCCAGGUGUAGCGGUGAAAUGCGUAGAGAUCUGGAGGAAUACCGGUGGCGAAGGCGGCCCCCUGGACAAAGACUGACGCUCAGGUGCGAAAGCGUGGGGAGCAAACAGGAUUAGAUACCCUGGUAGUCCACGCCGUAAACGAUGUCGAUUUGGAGGUUGUGCCCUUGAGGCGUGGCUUCCGGAGCUAACGCGUUAAAUCGACCGCCUGGGGAGUACGGCCGCAAGGUUAAAACUCAAAUGAAUUGACGGGGGCCCGCACAAGCGGUGGAGCAUGUGGUUUAAUUCGAUGCAACGCGAAGAACCUUACCUGGUCUUGACAUCCACAGAACUUAGCAGAGAUGCUUUGGUGCCUUCGGGAACUGUGAGACAGGUGCUGCAUGGCUGUCGUCAGCUCGUGUUGUGAAAUGUUGGGUUAAGUCCCGCAACGAGCGCAACCCUUAUCCUUUGUUGCCAGCGGUCAGGCCGGGAACUCAAAGGAGACUGCCAGUGAUAAACUGGAGGAAGGUGGGGAUGACGUCAAGUCAUCAUGGCCCUUACGACCAGGGCUACACACGUGCUACAAUGGCAUAUACAAAGAGAAGCGACCUCGCGAGAGCAAGCGGACCUCAUAAAGUAUGUCGUAGUCCGGAUUGGAGUCUGCAACUCGACUCCAUGAAGUCGGAAUCGCUAGUAAUCGUAGAUCAGAAUGCUACGGUGAAUACGUUCCCGGGCCUUGUACACACCGCCCGUCACACCAUGGGAGUGGGUUGCAAAAGAAGUAGGUAGCUUAACCUUCGGGAGGGC
This 1402-nucleotide ribosomal RNA is filed under the name Klebsiella pneumoniae. RNAcentral describes it as "bacterial SSU rRNA". It matches the Rfam family "Bacterial small subunit ribosomal RNA". Lineage: Bacteria; Pseudomonadati; Pseudomonadota; Gammaproteobacteria; Enterobacterales; Enterobacteriaceae. The record is from RNAcentral.